Molecule: ribosomal RNA, 491 nt
Filed under: uncultured bacterium
Lineage: Bacteria
Description: partial 16S ribosomal RNA
Rfam family: Bacterial small subunit ribosomal RNA
Source: RNAcentral
AGUGAACGCUGGCGGUAGGCCUAACACAUGCAAGUCGAACGGCAGCACAGUAAGAGCUUGCUCUUACGGGUGGCGAGUGGCGGACGGGUGAGGAAUACAUCGGAAUCUACUUUUUCGUGGGGGAUAACGUAGGGAAACUUACGCUAAUACCGCAUACGACCUACGGGUGAAAGCAGGGGAUCUUCGGACCUUGCGCGAUUGAAUGAGCCGAUGUCGGAUUAGCUAGUUGGCGGGGUAAAGGCCCACCAAGGCGACGAUCCGUAGCUGGUCUGAGAGGAUGAUCAGCAACACUGGAACGGAGACACGGUCCAGACUCCUACGGGAGGCAGCAGUGGGGAAUAUUGGACAAUGGGCGCAAGCCUGAUCCAGCCAUACCGCGUGGGUGAAGAAGGCCUUCGGGUUGUAAAGCCCUUUUGUUGGGAAAGAAAAGCAGCAGGUUAAUACCCCGCUGUUCUGACGGUACCCAAAGAAUAAGCACCGGCUAACUUCGU